RNAcentral lists this non-coding RNA (588 nucleotides) under Hillia triflora. Its description in RNAcentral is "transfer RNA-Leu". The stretch from base 26 to 512 matches the Rfam family "Group I catalytic intron". From Rfam's summary of the family: Group I catalytic introns are large self-splicing ribozymes. They catalyse their own excision from mRNA, tRNA and rRNA precursors in a wide range of organisms. Lineage: Eukaryota; Viridiplantae; Streptophyta; Magnoliopsida; Gentianales; Rubiaceae. The record is from RNAcentral.
GGGGAUAUGGCGAAAUUGGUAGACGCUACGGACUUAAUUGGAUUGAGCCUUGGUAUGGAAACCCMMUAAGUGAUAACUUUCAAAUUCAGAGAAACCUGGAAUUAAUAAAAAGGGGCAAUCCUGAGCCAAAUCCUCUUUUCCGAAACCAAAGGUUCAGAAAGUGAAAAAAAAAAAAGGAUAGGUGCAGAGACUCAACGGAAGCUGUYCUAACAAAUGGAGUUGGCUGCGUUAGUAGAGAAAUCUUUCUCUCGAAAAUUCAGCAAGAAUGAAGUGAAGGAUAAACGUAUAUACAUACGUAUUGAAUACUAUAUCAAAUGAUUCAUGACGACCCAACUGAAUCUCUAUUUUUAUAUAUGAAAAAAGGAAGAAUUGGUGUGAAUAGAUUCCACAUUGAAGAAAGAAUCGAAUAUUCAUUGCUCAAACGAUUCACUCCAUAGUCUGAUAGAUCUUUUCAAGAACUGAUUAAUCGGACGAGAAUAAAGAUAGAGUCCCGUUCUACAUGUCAAUGCCGGCAACAAUGAAAUUUAUAGUAAGAGGAAAAUCCGUCGACUUUAAAAAUCGUGAGGGUUCAAGUCCCUCUAUCCCCAA